GGGGGGGGCAAGCGUUGUUCGGAUUUACUGGGCGUACAGGGAGCGUAGGCGGUUGGAUAAGCCCUCCGUGAAAUCUCCAGGCUUAACCUGGAAAGUGCAGAGGGGACUGUUCAGCUAGAGGAUGGGAGAGGAGCGCGGAAUUCCCGGUGUAGCGGUGAAAUGCGUAGAGAUCGGGAGGAAGGCCGGUGGCGAAGGCGGCGCUCUGGAACAUUUCUGACGCUGAGGCUCGAAAGCGUGGGGAGCAAACAGGAUUAGAUACCCUGGUAGUCCACGCCUUAAACGAUGGAUACUAAGUGUCGGCGGGUUACCGCCGGUGCCGCAGCUAACGCAGUAAGUAUCCCGCCUGGGAAGUACGGCCGCAAGGUUG
RNAcentral lists this ribosomal RNA (367 nucleotides) under uncultured bacterium. RNAcentral's name for it is "bacterial SSU rRNA". It matches the Rfam family "Bacterial small subunit ribosomal RNA", at positions 527 to 896 of the family's 1533-position model. The record is from RNAcentral.